CCCACAUUAAUGCAAUCAAUAUUCAAGGAAAUUAAAUUAUGCAUGCAAUAUUAAGGGUAGUUAAACUAUUCUUAGUACUAGUCAUUGUUUAAUGCAAGAAUCAAGGUAAUUUACAUUCCGAAGUCAUCCAAUACAAAUACAAAUGAAUAAAUGUGAUGGAAGAUGAAUUUUUUUUUGGUCUUUAAUUUAAUAUUCCAAAUACAAUUGAAUAAUGGAGUAGUUUAUAUUUGUGAUAACAAAGCAUAUUAAAUACGUAUUAGUAAACAAAUAUAUUAACUACACUCAAAUAAGAACCAGGACUAUAAUUUGGGACAGACGAAAAAGGAAACAUGACUAUCUUUAUGGGAUGGAGGGAGUAUGAAAUUAUCCACCUAUGCUGUUCCUAGUGAGUUUUAUCUAUCAUAAAAUUCAUUCAUCCCAGAAUCUGAAUCCAUUGUCUCAGCAAAUUAUACAUCAUUCUCAAGAGAUGAAAUUGAAGGAGGCUGAGUACUAAAAGUAGGUAUUUUCUUGUUAGAU
Molecule: long non-coding RNA, 516 nt
Filed under: Olea europaea subsp. europaea
Lineage: Eukaryota; Viridiplantae; Streptophyta; Magnoliopsida; Lamiales; Oleaceae
Source: RNAcentral